GAUGAACGCUGGCGGCGUGCCUAAUACAUGCGAGUCGAGCGAACAGACGAGGAGCUUGCUCCUCUGACGUUAGCGGCGGACGGGUGAGUAACACGUGGAUAACCUACCUAUAAGACUGGGAUAACUUCGGGAAACCGGAGCUAAUACCGGAUAAUAUAUUGAACCGCAUGGUUCAAUAGUGAAAGACGGUUUUGCUGUCACUUAUAGAUGGAUCCGCGCCGCAUUAGCUAGUUGGUAAGGUAACGGCUUACCAAGGCAACGAUGCGUAGCCGACCUGAGAGGGUGAUCGGCCACAGUGGAAAUGAGACACGGUACAGACUCCUACGGGAGGCAGCAGUAGGGAAUCUUCCGAAAUGGGCGAAAGCCUGACGGAGCAACGCCGCGUGAGUGAUGAAGGUCUUCGGAUCGUAAAACUCUGUUAUUAGGGAAGAACAAAUGUGUAAGUAACUAUGCACGUCUUGACGGUACCUAAUCAGAAAGCCACGGCUAACUACG
This 495-nucleotide ribosomal RNA is filed under the name uncultured bacterium. Its description in RNAcentral is "partial 16S ribosomal RNA". It matches the Rfam family "Bacterial small subunit ribosomal RNA", at positions 28 to 505 of the family's 1533-position model. The record is from RNAcentral.